GUUUUCGACAUCAAACUGCACAAAGAUUUUGAUCUCGGAAGCUAAGCAGGGUCAGGCCUGGUUAGUACUUAGAUGGGAGACCACCUCGGAAGACCAGGUGUUGUAGGCG
This 109-nucleotide ribosomal RNA is filed under the name Pteropus alecto (black flying fox). Lineage: Eukaryota; Metazoa; Chordata; Mammalia; Chiroptera; Pteropodidae. The record is from RNAcentral.